GACGAACGCUGGCGGCGUGCCUAAUACAUGCAAGUCGAGCGAAGUUUUUCUGGUGCUUGCACUAGAAAAACUUAGCGGCGAACGGGUGAGUAACACGUAAGGAACCUGCCUCAUAGACUGGGACAACUAUUGGAAACGAUAGCUAAUACCGGAUAACAGUAUUUCUCGCAUGAGAGAUAUUUAAAAGUUGGUUAUGCUAACACUAUGAGAUGGCUUUGCGGUGCAUUAGCUAGUUGGUGGGGUAAAGGCCCACCAAGGCGACGAUGCAUAGCCGACCUGAGAGGGUGAUCGGCCACACUGGGACUGAGACACGGCCCAGACUCCUACGGGAGGCAGCAGUAGGGAAUCUUCCGCAAUGGGCGAAAGCCUGACGGAGCAACGCCGCGUGAGUGAAGAAGGAUUUCGGUUCGUAAAGCUCUGUUGUUAGGGAAGAAUGGAUAUGUAGUAACUAUACAUGUAAGAGACGGUACCUAACCAGAAAGCCACGGCUAACUACGUG
Molecule: ribosomal RNA, 499 nt
Filed under: uncultured bacterium
Lineage: Bacteria
Description: partial 16S ribosomal RNA
Rfam family: Bacterial small subunit ribosomal RNA
Source: RNAcentral